GGGCCCGUAGCUCAGCUUGGUUAGACAUUUAGGACCAAAGCACUUGGCUCUUAACCAAGGGGUCGAGGGUUCAAAUCCCUCCGGGCCCA
This 89-nucleotide transfer RNA is filed under the name Candidatus Woesearchaeota archaeon. Its description in RNAcentral is "tRNA-Lys". It matches the Rfam family "tRNA". Rfam says of the family: Transfer RNA (tRNA) molecules are approximately 80 nucleotides in length. Their secondary structure includes four short double-helical elements and three loops (D, anti-codon, and T loops). Lineage: Archaea; Nanobdellati; Candidatus Woesearchaeota. The record is from RNAcentral.